Long non-coding RNA from Frankliniella occidentalis (western flower thrips), 395 nucleotides. RefSeq lists it as uncharacterized. The record is from RefSeq and is a predicted model, not a curated record. Lineage: Eukaryota; Metazoa; Arthropoda; Insecta; Thysanoptera; Thripidae. The transcript is spliced from 4 exons.
UCGCAUUUCCCGGAUUAGAGAGAAGAGGCGAGAAAAGAAACGGGCGAGGAGGAAGAGGCAAGGCCCGAAAAAGAAGCACCUCAGCGAAGCUCAGAGGGAGAAAAGGCGGGCCCACGCAAAGCUCCAAUGGAAGCGUAAGAGGCGGGCGGCGGCGGCGGCGGCUGCGGCGGCGGCUGCGGCGGCAGCCGCAACAGCAACAGCAGCACCGCUACCACCACAAGAAGAAGCGACAAUUCAGAGGCGAGCACUGAGGCCACUACCGGCAAGGCGGGCCAAGGAGGUGGCUGCCAAGAGGGGGUUGUUGCCUCCCCCCCCAAGGCGUCAGCAAGCCAGGAAGAAGGCUUUGCCAACUCAGCCAGCCAAAUAAAUCAGCCAGCAAUGUGAAUUAAAUGUAA